RNAcentral lists this microRNA (22 nucleotides) under Aedes aegypti (yellow fever mosquito). RNAcentral describes it as "aae-miR-12-3p". Its record names the gene aae-miR-12-3p. The record is from miRBase by way of RNAcentral. Lineage: Eukaryota; Metazoa; Arthropoda; Insecta; Diptera; Culicidae.
CAGUACUUAUGUUAUGCUCUCU